GGCGCAAGCCUGAUCCAGCAAUGCCGCGUGCAGGAAGAAGGCCUUCGGGUUGUAAACUGCUUUUGUACGGAACGAAACGGUCCGGGUUAAUACCCUGGGCUAAUGACGGUACCGUAAGAAUAAGCACCGGCUAACUACGUGCCAGCAGCCGCGGUAAUACGUAGGGUGCAAGCGUUAAUCGGAAUUACUGGGCGUAAAGCGUGCGCAGGCGGUUUUGUAAGACAGGCGUGAAAUCCCCGGGCUCAACCUGGGAAUUGCGCUUGUGACUGCAAGGCUGGAGUGCGGCAGAGGGGGAUGGAAUUCCGCGUGUAGCAGUGAAAUGCGUAGAUAUGCGGAGGAACACCGAUGGCGAAGGCAAUCCCCUGGGCCUGCACUGACGCUCAUGCACGAAAGCGUGGGGAGCAAACAGGAUUAGAUACCCUGGUAGUCCACGCCCUAAACGAUGUCAACUGGUUGUUGGGAAUUUACUUUCUCAGUAACGAAGCUAACGCGUGAAGUUGACCGCCUGGGGAGUACGGCCGCAAGGUUGAAACUCAAAGA
This 540-nucleotide ribosomal RNA is filed under the name Hydrogenophaga sp. enrichment culture. RNAcentral describes it as "bacterial SSU rRNA". It matches the Rfam family "Bacterial small subunit ribosomal RNA", at positions 374 to 907 of the family's 1533-position model. Lineage: Bacteria; Pseudomonadati; Pseudomonadota; Betaproteobacteria; Burkholderiales; Comamonadaceae. The record is from RNAcentral.